This 498-nucleotide ribosomal RNA is filed under the name uncultured bacterium. Its description in RNAcentral is "partial 16S ribosomal RNA". It matches the Rfam family "Bacterial small subunit ribosomal RNA", at positions 30 to 523 of the family's 1533-position model. The record is from RNAcentral.
AUUGAACGCUGGCGGCAUGCUUUACACAUGCAAGUCGAACGGUAACAGGUCUUCGGAUGCUGACGAGUGGCGAACGGGUGAGUAAUACAUCGGAACGUGCCUAGUAGUGGGGGAUAACUACUCGAAAGAGUAGCUAAUACCGCAUGAGAUCUACGGAUGAAAGCAGGGGACCUUCGGGCCUUGUGCUACUAGAGCGGCUGAUGGCAGAUUAGGUAGUUGGUGGGGUAAAGGCUCACCAAGCCUGCGAUCUGUAGCUGGUGUGAGAGGACGACCAGCCACACUGGGAGUGAGCCACGGCCCAGACUCCUACGGGAGGCAGCAGUGGGGAAUUUUGGACAAGGGGCGAAAGCCGGAUUCAGCAAUGCCGCGUGCAGGAUGAAGGCCCUCGGGUUGUAAACUGCUUUUGUACGGAACGAAAAGCCUGGGGCUAAUAUCCCCGGGUCAUGACGGUACCGUAAGAAUAAGCACCGGCUAACUACGUGCCAGCCGCCGCCGUAA